GACGAACGCUGGCGGCGUGCUUAACACAUGCAAGUCGAACGGAAAGGCCCUGCUUUUGUGGGGUGCUCGAGUGGCGAACGGGUGAGUAACACGUGAGUAACCUGCCCUUGACUUUGGGAUAACUUCAGGAAACUGGGGCUAAUACCGGAUAGGAGCUCCUGCUGCAUGGUGGGGGUUGGAAAGUUUCGGCGGUUGGGGAUGGACUCGCGGCUUAUCAGCUUGUUGGUGGGGUAGUGGCUUACCAAGGCUUUGACGGGUAGCCGGCCUGGGAGGGUGACCGGGCACAUUGGGACUGAGAUACGGCCCAGACUGCUACGGGAGGCAGCAGUGGGAAAUAUUGCGCAGUGGGCGGAAGCCUGAUGCGGCAACGCCGCGUGCGGGAUGACGGCCUUCGGGUUGUGAACAGCUUUCGACUGUGACGAAGCGUGAGUGACGGUAAUGGGUAAAGAAGCACCGGCUAACUACGUG
Molecule: ribosomal RNA, 468 nt
Filed under: uncultured bacterium
Lineage: Bacteria
Description: partial 16S ribosomal RNA
Rfam family: Bacterial small subunit ribosomal RNA
Source: RNAcentral